AAUAAUUAGAAGUGGCAGUAUCGUAGCCAAUGAGGUUAAUCCAAGACACGAUUACUGCUAAUUGAAAACUUUUCUAGAUGGUAAAUGGCAGUAAACGACCAGUUCAUUCAUUGUACUGAAUCAGUAAAUUAUCUGUCAAUUACUGUAAAUUAAAUUUUCCA
Molecule: small nuclear RNA, 161 nt
Filed under: Gopherus evgoodei (Goodes thornscrub tortoise)
Lineage: Eukaryota; Metazoa; Chordata; Testudines; Testudinidae
Description: U4 spliceosomal RNA (ENSGEVG00005002828.1)
Rfam family: U4 spliceosomal RNA
About the family: U4 small nuclear RNA (U4 snRNA) is a component of the major U2-dependent spliceosome. The structure of U4 snRNA from yeast and human has been reported.
Source: RNAcentral